UACGUACUGUGCGAACGUUAUUCGGAAUUACUGGGCUUACAGGGUGUGUAGGCGGCUGAAUAAGUAGGGUGUGAAAGGCCCCGGCCUAACCGAGGCAUUGCGCUCUAAACUGUUCGGCUUGAGUGAGAUAGGGGUGUGCGGAACUUCCAGUGGAGCGAUGAAAUGUGUUGAUAUUGGAAGGAACGCCGGUGGCGAAAGCGGCACACUGGGUCUCAACUGACGCUGAGACACGAAAGCCAGGGGAGCGAACGGG
This 253-nucleotide ribosomal RNA is filed under the name uncultured bacterium. RNAcentral describes it as "partial 16S ribosomal RNA". It matches the Rfam family "Bacterial small subunit ribosomal RNA", at positions 524 to 776 of the family's 1533-position model. The record is from RNAcentral.